CGGGGAGUGGCUCAGGCUGGUAGAGCACGAGCUUUGGGAGCUCGAAGUCGUGGGUUCAAAUCCCUCCUCCCCGACCA
Molecule: transfer RNA, 77 nt
Filed under: Deltaproteobacteria bacterium
Lineage: Bacteria; Pseudomonadati; Myxococcota; Myxococcia
Description: tRNA-Pro
Rfam family: tRNA
About the family: Transfer RNA (tRNA) molecules are approximately 80 nucleotides in length. Their secondary structure includes four short double-helical elements and three loops (D, anti-codon, and T loops).
Source: RNAcentral